AUACAUCUAAAUAUGUUGCACUCCUAGACAGAGAAGAUGGAUUCAUGGCAGAUAGGAAGAGUCAACAUAUACAGCCCAGAUAUGUUCCACUCCUACCCAAUGAAUAUGGUUUCAUGGUAGAUGCACAUUAGGAUGUUUAACAUAUUCAACCUUUAUGAUGUUUCAGUAGUAGAAGGUGCAGCAUGGCAGCAGAAGAUGUUAAAUUGAGAAUCGUGAAGAGACAGUUUAAUUCUUUAGAGAAUAAAUAAGAUUAUAGUUUAUAGAUGAAGAUUAAAAAAAUCUUGAAUGUUCAAAAUAUCAGAUGAGAAUUUGCCAAGUGCCCUCAAUAUGUCUACAAUGAUAUAACAAUCAUAAUUAAAAAUGUAUUGUAAACCUCUUUUUCAAUAUUCAUAUUAAAGAAAGUAGAUUGUCAAUUUAGAUAUUUACUUAUUUACCUGAAUUUUUUAUUAAGUAAUUUGGACAAUAUGACUUUAUUUAGAUUUUUUGAAAUUCAAGUUCAAAAUGUAUAUACAUCAGAUAGUUUUGGUUUGCCAGCAACUUCCAUUGUAUACUAGCCAAAAGAUCAAUUGUUGGUUGUAAUUAAGGCCAGCUCUAAAUAAGAUCUUAAAAUAGAAACUAUCUUCAAAUUUGACAAGUUACCAUAUCUACAUAUGAAUAAAUUAGAAUAGUCUGUAAAUAUUCUGUAUUUUCCUUUUUGCAUCAUCUUUUGAGUAACCAAAUCAGAACACCCAGUUUGGUGAAAUACUUGUUCCUGUUAUAUCUAUCAUUGCUUUUGUAAGAUAAAAACAAAAAUGUAUAUGCAGUUUUGUUAAAUAUAUUUAAAUUAAAAAUUAAAAAAAAAAUCAAAUUCAAAUUAGCACAAACAAAAUUGACUUUAACUUAUGGUUUAGUUUAUGCACCCUUUAAUGUAUAUCUUAAAAGUUUUGUUGUGGACUAAGCAAAUAUCAAAUUAUCAUUUCAGAAGUACAUUUUGCUUGCAUGGUAUCAUCUUCACUAACAUUUAACAUAGUGGGUUUCGGAGUUACUGAGGUAGUUCUUAUUGAGGUGUUUCUUGUUUUUUUCUAUGGAGGAAUCAGUGGUUUCUAUGUCUUCAGGAUAUGGUUCUGUCAUUCAAAGGGAACUGUCAAUGUAAUUCUGAAAUGAUAUACAUUUGGUAUUUUAUUGUCAUUGAAAAAGAAACAGUAUCAGUGCAUGAACAUUUGAACUGUGAAUAUAUAAUAUUUAAACUUUAUAAUUUAUAAUUUUUAAAUCGAUUUUGGAAAGUUAUUGUAUCAAAAUUAAAUUGUAUUUGACACAGUUUGAUGGAUGGAAAUUGAAAAUUAGAAAAACUUUGAAAACAAAAUUCCAAAUAUAAAUUUCUGCUUCAUUAAAACAUUUGGUUAAAUGGAUCUGCAAAAUCACUGAUAGCUAACAUGGUUAAUCCACUUAAUUAGAUAGUGUCGUUAAGUAUAGUCUAAUGGAUCCUGUUGAUAUCCUAUUAAAAGUAUUAAUGUAUUAUGAAUUAUAUUCCUAAAUCUAACAUGUCAGACGCGAGAGACCCCCCUUUGUUAUAGAGGGAUCGCCCUUGCAUCAGUGUCUUACAAAUUGUACUGUAAUAUACUGAACUAUAGAUUAGCUCAGUGGGUAGAUGAUAACAAUGUACUGGUUGAGGAACAGAAUGGUUUAUGACAACUUUGUAGUACAAUAGACCAAUUAUCUACUCUUACUAAUUUGAUAAAUGUGAGAAAAACACUUCCUAAAUCAAUCUUUUGCGCCUUUAUAUUGAUUUUAAAAAGGCUUACGACACUACACAGAGAUAUUUUAUGGUAUAAACUAGAUAAAAUUGGUGUUGCACAGACUUUUUGUUCUGCUAUUAAGUCAAUUUAUACAAAUGUUCUGUAAGAAUAAACGAUCAUUUCACAGACUGGUUUGAUGUAAACACUGGCUUGAAACAAGGAUGUCCCUUGUCGCUCAUUUUGUUCAACUUGUAUAUUAAUGAUUGAGUAACAUUUCUUAAGUCCUUUGACUGCGGAAUAGAUAUUGGUGAUGAAAAACUGUAUUUUAUUAUAUGCUGAUGAUGUUAUUAUAGCAAACGAUGAAAAAGAGCUACAACUUUUGGUAAAUGCUUUUUCUACAUGAUUUGAAGACAAUUGUAUGACAAUUAAUACAAACAAGAGUGACAUUGUACAAUUUAGACCACCAUCUAUACCUAGAUAUGAUGUAAUUUUUAAUUGUAAUGGUCAUACUAUAAAGUCUUCUAGUAAUGAUACUUGGUCUCAUUUUAAACAAGCAUUUAGACUAUAAUAUCACUGCAAAAGCCGUUGCAUCUUCAGCAAAUAGAACUUUAAGGAUGGUAAUAGCCAAGUGUAAACUUUAAGGGGGUGUUUGUUUCGAUGUAUUUGUAAAAUUAUAUGAAAGUUUGGUUUGUCCUAUAAUAGAAUAUGAAAAGGUAUAUGGGGUGUAAAAAGAUAUUCUUGUAUAAAUUCCAUACAUAAUGGGGCCUGUAGAUUUUCUAGAAGUAGAAAAAUAUGCACCAAAUGCUGCAGUUACUGGAGACUUGGGUAUUAUUGUAUUAUACGUUGAUAAUUUUAUUUUAUAUUGCAUUUUGAUUUGUCAAUACACACGUUUUAAGGUGUAGGUCAGAGCACCUGACCCUGGAGACGGGAUUGCGCACUUGGCAUCCACUGACACAGGUUUCUAGAGCUUUUUGAUCGAUUAUAUCGUUUUUUAUCUCUAGUUGUUCCUGGCCGGCCUUGACUGUCUAUGAAGGGGUGCAUUUAGUCAAAAGUUGGUUUUGGUGUAUUUUGGAAAAUCAUGGAA
Long non-coding RNA from Mytilus californianus (California mussel), 2799 nucleotides. RefSeq lists it as uncharacterized. The transcript has 3 exons. The record is from RefSeq and is a predicted model, not a curated record. Lineage: Eukaryota; Metazoa; Mollusca; Bivalvia; Mytilida; Mytilidae.